This 433-nucleotide ribosomal RNA is filed under the name uncultured bacterium. RNAcentral's name for it is "partial 16S ribosomal RNA". It matches the Rfam family "Bacterial small subunit ribosomal RNA", at positions 36 to 507 of the family's 1533-position model. The record is from RNAcentral.
CCCUCCCUCUGGCUUCAUGCCUAACACAUGCAAGUCGAACGAGACCUUCGGGUCUAGUUGCGCACGGGUGCGUAACGCGUGGGAAUCUACCCUCAGGUUCGGAAUAACUCAGAGAAAUUUGAGCUAAUACCGGAUGAUGACGUAAGUCCAAAGAUUUAUCGCCUGAGGAUGAGCCCGCGUAGGAUUAGGUAGUUGGUGAGGUAAAGGCUCACCAAGCCGACGAUCCUUAGCUGGUCUGAGAGGAUGAUCAGCCACACUGGGACUGAGACACGGCCCAGACUCCUACGGGAGGCAGCAGUGGGGAAUAUUGGACAAUGGGCGAAAGCCUGAUCCAGCAAUGCCGCGUGAGUGAUGAAGGCCUUAGGGUUGUAAAGCUCUUUUACCCGGGAUGAUAAUGACAGUACCGGGAGAAUAAGCUACGGCUAACUCCGUG